Molecule: microRNA precursor, 192 nt
Filed under: Oryza sativa Indica Group (long-grained rice)
Lineage: Eukaryota; Viridiplantae; Streptophyta; Magnoliopsida; Poales; Poaceae
Description: MIR812 microRNA precursor family
Rfam family: MIR812 microRNA precursor family
Source: Rfam by way of RNAcentral
ACUCAGUUCCUGGGUUUUUUUAUCCAACAUUUGACCGUCCAUCUUAUAUGAAUGUUUUUUUUAUAAUUACUAUUUUUAUUAUUGUUAGAUGAUAAAAUAUGAAUAAUAUUUUAUGCAUGAUUUAUUAUUUUAAAGUUUUUCAUAACUUUUUCAAAUAAGACGAACAGUUGAACAUUAGACACAUAAACCCAG